UACAGAGGGUGCGAGCGUUAAUCGGAAUUACUGGGCGUAAAGCGCGCGUAGGCGGCUUUUCAAGUCGAUUGUGAAAUCCCCGGGCUUAACCUGGGAAUGGCGUUUGAAACUACGGAGCUGGAGUGUGGCAGAGGGAGGUAGGAUUCCACGUGUAGCGGUGAAAUGCGUAGAUAUGUGGAGGAAUACCGAUGGCGAAGGCAGCCUCCUGGGCCAACACUGACGCUCAUGCACGAAAGCGUGGGGAGCAAACAGG
This 253-nucleotide ribosomal RNA is filed under the name uncultured bacterium. RNAcentral's name for it is "partial 16S ribosomal RNA". It matches the Rfam family "Bacterial small subunit ribosomal RNA", at positions 524 to 776 of the family's 1533-position model. The record is from RNAcentral.